RNAcentral lists this unclassified non-coding RNA (520 nucleotides) under uncultured Glomus. RNAcentral describes it as "SSU rRNA". It matches the Rfam family "Eukaryotic small subunit ribosomal RNA", at positions 569 to 1092 of the family's 1831-position model. Lineage: Eukaryota; Fungi; Glomeromycota; Glomeromycetes; Glomerales; Glomeraceae. The record is from RNAcentral.
AGCAGCCGCGGUAAUUCCAGCUCCAAUAGCGUAUAUUAAAGUUGUUGCAGUUAAAAGCUCGUAGUUGAAUUUCGGGGUUAGUAGGUUGGUCAUGCCUCUGGUAUGUACUGGUCUCACUGAUUCCUCCUUCCUGAUGAGCCGUAAUGCCAUUAAUUUGGUGUUGCGGGGAAUUUGGACUGUUACUUUGAAAAAUUAGAGUGUUUAAAGCAAGCUAACGCUUGAAUACAUUAGCAUGGAAUAAUGAAAUAGGACGUUCGAUCCUAUUUUGUUGGUUUCUAGGAUUGACGUAAUGAUUAAUAGGGAUAGUUGGGGGCAUUAGUAUUCAAUUGUCAGAGGUGAAAUUCUUGGAUUUAUUGAAGACUAACUACUGCGAAAGCAUUUGCCAAGGAUGUUUUCAUUAAUCAAGAACGAAAGUUAGGGGAUCGAAGACGAUCAGAUACCGUCGUAGUCUUAACCAUAAACUAUGCCGACUAGGGAUCGGAUGAUGUUAAUUUUUUAAUGACUCAUUCGGCGCCUUAAC